CUAUCGGCAGGCCUAAUACAUGCAAGUCGAGGGGUAGAGAGAGCUUGCUUUCUUGAGACCGGCGCACGGGUGCGUAACGCGUAUGCAACCUACCUUUAUCUGGGGGAUAGCCCGGAGAAAUCCGGAUUAAUACCGCAUAAAAUCACAGAAUAGCAUUAUUUAAUGAUCAAACAUUUAUGGGAUGAAGAUGGGCAUGCGUGUCAUUAGCUAGUUGGCGGGGUAACGGCCCACCAAGGCGACGAUGACUAGGGGAUCUGAGAGGAUGGCCCCCCACACUGGUACUGAGACACGGACCAGACUCCUACGGGAGGCAGCAGUAAGGAAUAUUGGUCAAUGGAGGCAACUCUGAACCAGCCAUGCCGCGUGCAGGAAGACUGCCCUAUGGGUUGUAAACUGCUUUUAUCCGGGAAUAAACCUUUCUACGUGUAGGAAGCUGAAUGUACCGGAAGAAUAAGGAUCGGCUAACUCCGUGCCAGCAGCCGCGGUAAUACGGAGGAUCCAAGCGUUAUCCGGAUUUAUUGGGUUUAAAGGGUGCGUAGGCGGCCUGUUAAGUCAGGGGUGAAAGACGGUAGCUCAACUAUCGCAGUGCCCUUGAUACUGAUGGGCUUGAAUGGACUAGAGGUAGGCGGAAUGAGACAAGUAGCGGUGAAAUGCAUAGAUAUGUCUCAGAACACCGAUUGCGAAGGCAGCUUACUAUGGUCUUAUUGACGCUAAGGCACGAAAGCGUGGGGAUCAAACAGGAUUAGAUACCCUGGUAGUCCACGCCCUAAACGAUGAACACUCGCUGUUGGCGAUACACAGUCAGCGGCUAAGCGAAAGCGUUAAGUGUUCCACCUGGGGAGUACGCCCGCAAGGGUGAAACUCAAAGGAAUUGACGGGGGCCCGCACAAGCGGAGGAGCAUGUGGUUUAAUUCGAUGAUACGCGAGGAACCUUACCCGGGCUUGAAAGUUAGUGAAUGAUCUAGAGAUAGAUCAGUGAGCAAUCACACGAAACUAGGUGCUGCAUGGCUGUCGUCAGCUCGUGCCGUGAGGUGUUGGGUUAAGUCCCGCAACGAGCGCAACCCCUAUGUUUAGUUGCCAGCAUGUAAUGAUGGGGACUCUAAACAGACUGCCUGUGCAAACAGAGAGGAAGGAGGGGACGACGUCAAGUCAUCAUGGCCCUUACGUCCGAGGCUACACACGUGCUACAAUGGAUGGUACAGAGGGCAGCUAGCUGGCAACAGUAUGCGAAUCUCACAAAGCCAUUCACAGUUCGGAUUGGGGUCUGCAACUCGACCCCAUGAAGUUGGAUUCGCUAGUAAUCGCGUAUCAGCAAUGACGUGGUGAAUACGUUCCCGGGCCUUGUACACACCGCCCGUCAAGCCAUGGAAGUUGGGGGUACCUAAAGUAUGUAACCGCAAGGAGCGUCCUAGGGUAAAACCGAUAACUGGGGCUAAGU
RNAcentral lists this ribosomal RNA (1438 nucleotides) under uncultured organism. RNAcentral's name for it is "SSU rRNA". It matches the Rfam family "Bacterial small subunit ribosomal RNA". The record is from RNAcentral.